This 814-nucleotide ribosomal RNA is filed under the name uncultured bacterium. RNAcentral describes it as "bacterial SSU rRNA". It matches the Rfam family "Bacterial small subunit ribosomal RNA", at positions 8 to 799 of the family's 1533-position model. The record is from RNAcentral.
AGAGUUUGAUCAUGGCUCAGAAUGAACGCUGGCGGCGUGCCUAACACAUGCAAGUCGAGCGGUAAGGCCCCUUCGGGGGUACACGAGCGGCGAACGGGUGAGUAACGCGUGGGUAACCUACCCAGAAGUGGGGGAUAGCCUCGGGAAACCGGGGGUAAUACCGCAUGUGUCCUGUCGGGCUGCGGCCUGACAGGAGAAAGGCGGGGAUCUUCGGACCUGUCGCUUUCUGGAUGGGCCCGCGUCCGAUUAGCUAGUUGGUGGGGUAAUGGCCCACCAAGGCUCCGAUCGGUAGCCGGCCUGAGAGGGUGAACGGCCACAUUGGGACUGAGACACGGCCCAGACUCCUACGGGAGGCAGCAGUGGGGAAUUUUGGGCAAUGGGGGAAACCCUGACCCAGCGACGCCGCGUGGAGGAUGAAGGCCUUCGGGUUGUAAACUCCUGUCAGGUGGGAAGAAGACCCUGGCAGCUAACAUCUGUCAGGGGGUGACUGUACCACCAAAGGAAGCCCCGGCUAACUCCGUGCCAGCAGCCGCGGUAAUACGGAGGGGGCGAGCGUUAUUCGGAAUUACUGGGCGUAAAGCGCACGUAGGCGGCGAUGCAAGUCGAAGGUGAAAGCCCUCGGCUCAACCGAGGAACUGCCCUCGAAACUGCGUCGCUUGAGUCCGGGAGGGGGGAGCGGAAUUCCCAGUGUAGCGGUGAAAUGCGUAGAUACUGGGAGGAACACCGGUGGCGAAGGCGGCUCCCUGGACCGGUACUGACGCUGAGGUGCGAAAGCGUGGGUAGCAAACAGGAUUAGAUACCCUGGUAGUCCACG